Long non-coding RNA from Serinus canaria (Common canary), 1195 nucleotides. RefSeq lists it as uncharacterized. The transcript is spliced from 2 exons. The record is from RefSeq and is a predicted model, not a curated record. NCBI's taxonomy places the organism in Eukaryota, Metazoa, Chordata, Aves, Passeriformes, Fringillidae.
UAAAGUACAAGGUGAAAGAGGCCCCGGGUGCCUGAGUGAGCUUAGUGAAACCCCCCCCGGGGCCCACGAGUGGCCUUGGGGCUCUGAAGGGGCCCAGAGGAUUGGGCCAACAGCCCGGCGGGUCCCGAGGGAAAACGAGACGAGAUGUUUUGUUGCUGUUGUUUUAAGACAGUUCUUCAAAAAAAAAUGACAGCCCCACUCGCAAAUGGAAAAAAAGACAGCUGGACGAAUAAUACAUCAUUUCAAACUGAACAGCUAAAGCAGCUGCUGUGAAAUCAAGUCAUCCUCUGCUAUGGGGUUCUCAGUAUCAGAACUGGGCCCAAAAAAUAAUAAAUAAAAUAUGUAAGACCUAGAGAAAAUUAAGUUCUUAAAACAUUAUCCUGUGAGCUAGGAGCAUUUCAGCUAUGCCAGAGGCAAACCAGCGCUGAGGUACCACUUCAGCAGCUACAAUUCACACUGAAGUGCCACAUCACACAUUUCACCACACUUGACAAAGCACCCAUUGCUGUCAAAUUUUAAAUCAGCAAGGUCAGGGAACACUAUCUUGUCCCACCUACCUAAGGCAGUGUUCUCUACAACCUGAAAUUCCUUAAGGACCUCAGGAAUUUCCUCUUUGUUCUAACUCUGAAGCAGUUGCAUUGUUACUGCUGUUGAUUGAGCUGAUCCCUUGCUGGAAUACAUCUUUAACACGAGGCCUCUCCAUUUCACCUAAUUCUGUGCACAGAAUCCAAGAUGUGUAUUAACUUCUGGAGUGGACUUGAGCAGCCUUUCAGGGGGCGGUCUUCCCUGCAAGGAAUUAACACACAACUCCCAGUUAAGCAGAGAUUCACACACUUGAUAUCCUGCAAUAUGCAAAUUGACAAACGCAUGAAAAUAAAUAUAUUGAAAUGAACCUUACCAUAAAAGUAAACAGAGUUGUGGGAGAGGAUAGAAUAACUUACAUCAACACACAUUUCAGCUCUGCACAUUUCAGAACUGCACCUACUGACAUUGGAUAAGAAAUGCUUAAUGGGCCAAAUCAAAAGAAAAUAGGUAGAACAAUAAGAAGAAAAAUAGGAGUUAUGGGAAGUGAAAUAUCAGAUAUAAAUUUUUAAAUGAAAGACUAUAUCUUCUUUACUAUAAUUAUAGCAAACUCUGCUUCUGGCACUAAAUAAAAAUAAAAUAAAAAUAAAAAUAAAAAUAAAAAUAAAAAUAA